CAAAUGAAUUGACGGGGGCCCGCACAAGCGGUGGAGCAUGUGGUUUAAUUCGAUGCAACGCGAAGAACCUUACCUGGUCUUGACAUCCACAGAACUUUCCAGAGAUGGAUUGGUGCCUUCGGGAACUGUGAGACAGGUGCUGCAUGGCUGUCGUCAGCUCGUGUUGUGAAAUGUUGGGUUAAGUCCCGCAACGAGCGCAACCCUUAUCCUUUGUUGCCAGCGGUCCGGCCGGGAACUCAAAGGAGACUGCCAGUGAUAAACUGGAGGAAGGUGGGGAUGACGUCAAGUCAUCAUGGCCCUUACGGCCAGGGCUACACACGUGCUACAAUGGCAUAUACAAAGAGAAGCGACCUCGCGAGAGCAAGCGGACCUCAUAAAGUAUGUCGUAGUCCGGAUUGGAGUCUGCAACUCGACUCCAUGAAGUCGGAAUCGCUAGUAAUCGUAGAUCAGAAUGCUACGGUGAAUACGUUCCCGGGCCUUGUACACACCGCCCGUCACACCAUGGGAGUGGGUUGCAAAAGAAGUAGGUAGCUUAACCUUCGGGAGGGCGCUUACCACUUUGUGAUUCAUGACUGGGGUGAAGUCGUAACAAGGUAACCGUAGGGGAACCUGCGGUUGGAUCACCUCCUUACCUUAAAGAA
Molecule: ribosomal RNA, 641 nt
Filed under: Acinetobacter baumannii
Lineage: Bacteria; Pseudomonadati; Pseudomonadota; Gammaproteobacteria; Moraxellales; Moraxellaceae
Description: bacterial SSU rRNA
Rfam family: Bacterial small subunit ribosomal RNA
Source: RNAcentral